RNAcentral lists this transfer RNA (60 nucleotides) under Caprella scaura. RNAcentral's name for it is "tRNA-Trp". The record is from RNAcentral. Lineage: Eukaryota; Metazoa; Arthropoda; Malacostraca; Amphipoda; Caprellidae.
UAAAUUUUAAGUUAAAAAAACUGUGAGCCUUCAAAGCUUAAAAUGGGUUUCCAAAUUUAG